This 234-nucleotide ribosomal RNA is filed under the name uncultured bacterium. RNAcentral describes it as "partial 16S ribosomal RNA". It matches the Rfam family "Bacterial small subunit ribosomal RNA", at positions 1258 to 1500 of the family's 1533-position model. The record is from RNAcentral.
CGACGCAGAGCGGAACUUCAAAGCCUGUCUCAGUUCGGAUUGGAGUCUGCAACCCGACUCCAUGAAGCUGGAUUCGCUAGUAAUCGCGCAUCAGCCACGGCGCGGUGAAUACGUUCCCGGGCCUUGUACACACCGCCCGUCAAGCCAUGGAAGCCGGGAGUGCCUGAAGUGUGCAACCGCAAGGAGCGCCCUAAGGUAAAACCGGUGACUGGGGCUAAGUCGUAACAAGGUACC